Long non-coding RNA from Balaenoptera ricei (Rice's whale), 2485 nucleotides. RefSeq lists it as uncharacterized. The record is from RefSeq and is a predicted model, not a curated record. Lineage: Eukaryota; Metazoa; Chordata; Mammalia; Artiodactyla; Balaenopteridae. The transcript has 3 exons.
GCGUCUCCCUGGGAACCUCCCACUCAUCCUCCCACCACGGCUUCUGGGGCUUCUGGGUCUGGCAGGGGCGGCUCAACCUCGUGCACAGCCCGUCCGAAGAAUCUGUGAGGACAAGGGAGGAGGGAAGGAGCCGUGCGUGUUCCCGGGCGCCAGGAGCUGCCUCUCCGCGUCCUUGCGGCUCAGGGUCUUGAAGAACCAGCUGCGCAAGGCAGAAGCGAGGGCUUCUUUCGUCUGUUGGUCCGUUCUUCCUCCAUCACCCUCCAGCAUUCACACACCCCUAGCAUCUCUCCUUUGCUCCGAGGUCCCUGGAUCUACGCCCAGCAAUCCCCCACGACGAGUCCCCACUCACGGUUCGGGCUCCAGGCUGUUCGCUCUGGCCACAAAGUUGAAGGGGAUGUAACCUUCCUGGCCCGUGGUCACGGACUGCGCCUUCCACCACUCGCCGUUCCUGCGCGACAGCGGCGGUUAGCACGGUCUGCUCAGCCUUGGACUUGGCUGGAAACCCUCCCUCAGAGCCCCCAGUUAGGCCAUGCCACCCCACCCUCCAGCUCAACACUCCGGAGCCUCCCAUUUUGUCUUAAGGGCACCCACUGCAAGCCAGAUCAGGGGCCACAGGGGGGCUGCAGUACCGGAGAUCCCUGCUCCCUCACACUCUACGGCAGGGCAAGGAUGGAUGGGGUGAAGGGGACACUCACUGCUCCAGGAUACGUAGCUGUUCACCCUUCUCGAAGCCCAGGUCUCCAUCGUGGGAAGGCUCAUAGCUGUGCAGGGCGAUAACCAGGUUGUCUGUAAAGACAGGGGGAGUCAGGGAGAACCUGCUUGGAAUAGGCUGGGAGCACGAGUUCAGGAGUUACAUGGUAGCCCACACGACUGAGGGGGAAGGAGGAAGGACAGGUGGUGAGUAGGUGAGGAGGAGAUGGAGGCUGACAGCCAAGGGUCCACAGGACUUAUCUUCCAGGCCCUGCUGGUUGAAGUCACCUUGCAGUGGAGAAGCUGGGGGGUUGGAGCCCUCGUAGGUGACCAGUGGAUCCCGCACUUCAGAGCCAUUCCAGAUGGACAGCUGAGGGGUGGGGAAUGAGUGGAGUCAGAGAGCUGGAGGCUGGGUCAGACCCUGGCUUGCCUCCCCACUGCCCUGCUCUCCUUCACUUUGGCUUGGCUGGGUCUUAUCACUGAAUUUACCAACCACUUGCUGCGUGACCUUAUGAGAACCCCUUUCCCUCUCCGGGGUUCUUUUCCUUUCUGUUGUAGGGGAGAGGGCUCGCUGUUAUUUCAAGGACCUAUAGUGGUGGUCCGUUUCUCUCUUCCGGGUUGUACACCCCACCCGACUCCCUCACCAAGCCCCCUGUCUUGCCUCUUACCAUGGCCUUGCCAUCCAGUGGGAUUAUGGGGUAAUGGCAGUUCUCACAUACAUCGAUGUUUUCCAUCCAGUCAUCUUCAGGGUUUGAGCUGCAGCUACAGCCCAUGGUACCUGGGGGAAUGGAGAGGGGAAUGAAAGGGCUCCCCCAAGAUCUACCCCUGUAACAUCAGACAUGCUAAGGCCUAGCCCUGGGAACUUCCAGAAGGACCCAAGAUUGUCAGCCCCCCAGCCCCCAUUCACCAGCCACAGAAAAGCUGGAGUGGGGUCCUAGCUCCCAGUAAAGUCACACAUGCCCUCCUGCUGAGGCCUAGGCCCCGCCCUCCCACCUGGGCUGGGCAAACCGCCACAGGCACCUUUGUUAGUCUAGUUGCCCACUUCCUGCCUCUCCCCCCUCCCGCUCUCUCUGCCCAUCCCCCAAGUUGGGGGACUACCUACUAGAGAUCGCAUACACUUCCCCAAGCCCUAGGGAAGACCUAAGUUUUGAUCCUCCCCUACCAGAGGGGUGUGUGCGCCCCACCUCCUAAUUACAAUUCCCCUUUCCAGACGAGGAAGCUGGAUAAGAGACCCUUUCUCCCGAAUGUCAGCCAUCAGGCCUCUGUUGCCCCAAAGCCCCCACACACAAAGUCUCCUUCAGAGGCUUCUUCCUGCUUCUCCCCAGCAGAAAACACUUCAGCGGCCCUCUUGGCCAUAACUUUUACUUGUUUGCUUGCUUUAGCAGUGGAAACUUUUUGUCAGAUGAAAUCAAGCAGAACCUCAUAGAUAAAGCAGGUAAAAGUGGGGCUGUUCUGCCUGAAGCAGAGUGUGGUGCGACCUCACUCUGAAGCUCCUGGGAGUCCCUGCAGCACCUCCUCCCCCAGGGCUGCUCCUCAGGACCGCUUGGAAACAGUAGUCCUCAGGGGACACUGGUUCGAUCCCUGGUCUGGGAAGAUCCCACAUGCUGUGGAGCAACUAAGCCCGUGCGCCACAACUACUGAGCCCGCGUGCUGCAACUACUGAAGCCUGUGCGCCUAGAGCCUGUGCUCCACAACGAGAGAAGCCACCGCCAUGAGAAGCCCGCGCACCACAACGAAGAGUAGCCCCCGCUCGCCGCAACUAAAGAAAGCCCGCACGCAGCAACAAGGACCCAAC